GACGAACGCUGGCGGCGUGCUUAACACAUGCAAGUCGAACGAAAAGAGGGAAAGAGCUUGCUCUUUCCGGAAUUGAGUGGCAAACGGGUGAGUAACACGUAAACAACCUGCCUUCAGGAUGGGGACAACAGACGGAAACGACUGCUAAUACCGAAUAAGUUCCAAGGGCCGCAUGGCCCAUGGAAGAAAAGGUGGCCUCUACCUGUAAGCUAUCGCCUGAAGAGGGGCUUGCGUCUGAUUAGCUGGUUGGAGGGGUAACGGCCCACCAAGGCGACGAUCAGUAGCCGGUCUGAGAGGAUGAACGGCCACACUGGAAUUGAGACACGGUCCAGACUCCUACGGGAGGCAGCAGUGGGGAAUCUUCCGCAAUGGGCGAAAGCCUGACGGAGCAACGCCGCGUGAGUGAUGACGGCCUUCGGGUUGUAAAACUCUGUGAUCCGGGACGAAAAGGCAGAGUGCGAAGAACAAACUGCAUUGACGGUACCGGAAAAGCAAGCCACGGCUAACUACGUG
This 513-nucleotide ribosomal RNA is filed under the name uncultured bacterium. Its description in RNAcentral is "partial 16S ribosomal RNA". It matches the Rfam family "Bacterial small subunit ribosomal RNA", at positions 28 to 507 of the family's 1533-position model. The record is from RNAcentral.